This 1696-nucleotide long non-coding RNA is filed under the name Androctonus crassicauda. Lineage: Eukaryota; Metazoa; Arthropoda; Arachnida; Scorpiones; Buthidae. The record is from RNAcentral.
CUAUAUGCAGUAAUGGAAAAAAAUCUUUAAUUCAGCAAAUGUUUUUGGCAGAUUACUUGCCAUCUUCAGGCUACAAAUAUAACAGUUCAGAAUAUGGAACAGGAAGUUCUAAAAUACAAAAGUUUGUUACCUAGAUUACAGGGUAAUUACAAAAAAAAAUUUUUUUGAAGGCAAUGCAAAUUAAACAUAUACACAAAACAUAAAGUAAAAAUAAAAUUAAAAAGGUAAAUUAAAUAUAAACAUAAAGGUAAAAUAAAAUAAAUGAAAUAAAAUGAAAUAACAGUAUAAUAAAGUAAAAAUACAUUAUGAAAAAUAAAAAUUGAAUCUUAGUCUUUUGCUUUAAGAGGGUAGUGCGGAGGCAGAUCUUACUCCAUUUUUGAGUUUCAUUUCUUUCCAUUUUUCUAGCAAGUAUGUCCAUGAUGACGGCAGAUCAAUGGCUGGCUUUUCAUUCAUUAUUUGUUCUCUGCAUUUAGCUUUUAAUAUCUCUAUGGACUCCGUUAAGUAUGCUUGAGUUUUUGCGGCUAAAAGCUUUAUUAUCUUAGCUUUUUUCCAGACUAUUUACAAAUCAAUGGCACAAGUUUCUGUAGCAAGAGCAAUGGAAAUCUUCCCGUUAGCUAUAUCUUUUUUUGUGUUCUUCAAUUCUCUGUUGUAAAGUUCUUGUGGUUACACCUAUGUAUGCUGUGUGUUGCUGGGUGUUAGUAAACAAGGCUGGAAUUUUAUAAAAACCUGACUUUUGACAGUCGUCAUUCCUUCUCCCUUUUUCAUUCCUGAGUUUAAUAAACACAGUAGGAGCUCUAUAGUAUGCUGGCUUUUUCUUUGCUUUUUUUCUCAAAUUUUUGAUAGAUUUAAGCUUUGUUAGAGAAUAUGACAAAGGGAGAUAUUGCUGUUUAUUGAUAUUUGAGACAGAUGCACCAUUAGGUUUUUUUUUUUUUUAGGAUUGCUCGAUUUUAGUCCAGAUGUUUUUUAGGAAGAGUUUUCCGUAGCCCUAUUGGAGGCCUACAUUAUAUAAGUAAUCUAUUUCAGCUUGUAAGUUUUGUUGGUCUGACGUAUAUAGGAGUGCUCUCUUGAAAAGCAAUCUAAAUGCUGCUUUCUUGUAGGACCGGAGGGCCAUCUAAAGAUUACGAUUGGCUGGUGCAAUGGUUUGCAGUACACUGCAGUUUUUAAUGUUUCCUUUCUAAUUUCGUGUUGAUGUCCAGGAAGUGAGCUGUGUUGUGGUCUUGCUGGAUUUUCUUAAGGCUAAGUCCAUAUGCAGGGAGCAUGAAAGCAGCUUCAGAAUUGUUAACCUUAGCAUCAUUGUUCCAUAACAUAAAAAUAUCAUCUACAUAUCUCAUGCAAAGUUUUAAGUUAGUUUUAUAUUUUUGCAGGAUUGGGUCUUCUACUUGCCUCAAGUAUUUCUGCUGGUGGGCCAGCCAUAGUAUUUAUUUAUGUUUUUUUUUUUUUUGUAAUUAUGAUGUAACCUAGGUAAAUACAAAAGUUUGUUUAGAACUUCCUGUUUGAUAUUCUGAACCAUUAUAUUUGUAGCCUGAAGGUGGCAAGUAAUCUUUGCCAAAAACAUUUGCUGAAUUAGAGAUUUUUUUCCCACUACUGCAUAUAGUGUUGGAUUUUUCUUAAAUAGUAUUGUGAAUGUUUUAAAGCAAUAUACCGUAUAUACUCGAAUAUAAGCCGAUCCGUGUAUAAGCCGACUCCCCGACUUCAG